GCGCAGCAGUCGAGAAUCUUCCACAAUGGACGAAAGUCUGAUGGAGCGACGCCGCGUGGUUGAUGAAGUCCUUCGGGACGUAAAGACCUUUUAUGAGGGAGGAAGUAAUUGACGUUACCUCAUGAAUAAGGGGCUCCUAACUCUGUGCCAGCAGGAGCGGUAAUACAGAGGCCCCAAGCAUUAUCCGGAAUCACUGGGCGUAAAGGGUGUGUAGGCGGUUGUAUUAGUCCUUCGUGAAGACUCUCGGGCCUAACCCGGGAAA
This 262-nucleotide ribosomal RNA is filed under the name uncultured organism. Its description in RNAcentral is "partial 16S ribosomal RNA". It matches the Rfam family "Bacterial small subunit ribosomal RNA", at positions 346 to 621 of the family's 1533-position model. The record is from RNAcentral.